AUGCCCCGGAAGGCAUCCCCUCUUCCGUCUACUUCCAUCGGUAAUUUACUUGGAGCUAUAUUUUUAUUCACCACAUGUUAUGUGUUUUGCUUGGAGCAUCUUGUAUUAUUUGCGUCUUUGAUUGUUAGUUUACCACAAUCAUCCUUGCUGUACACACCUUUUGAGAGAGCCAUACAUGAUUUAGAAUUUGCUAGAAUACUCUAUGUGCUUCACUUAUAUCUUUUGAGCUUGAUAGUUUUGCUCAUAGUGCUUCACAUAAACCUUUUUGAGCGUAAUAAUUUUUGCUCUAGUGAUUCACUUAGAUCUUUUAGAGCACGGUGGUGGAUUUGUUUUAAAGAAACUAUUGAUCUCUCAUGCUUCACUUAG
Molecule: ribosomal RNA, 366 nt
Filed under: Triticum aestivum (bread wheat)
Lineage: Eukaryota; Viridiplantae; Streptophyta; Magnoliopsida; Poales; Poaceae
Description: partial small subunit ribosomal RNA
Source: RNAcentral